UUUUAGCACACACAGAGAGACAGAGAAAGUGAGUAAGUGUGAGAGAGAGAGAGAGAGAGAGAGAGAGAGAAUCAGUGCUAUUCUCUGCACAAAAAAAUCUCUCUCAGGAUAGACCUUGUUUGGAGACACCAAUGAGACAGUACAAAGACUGAAAAGGAAUGGAAUGUAUUUUUCAAAAGUGAUAAAUCCUUGAGAGAAGACACAAUGUAUGACCAAUCCCAUAUGGUAUAAAUUUCAGCACUACAAGUUUCUCAGAUAAUUCAGAUGUCAUGGUUCCUUUGGCUCCUUCAAUAGAAACAGUAAAGGGCCCUGGACUCAAACUCCCUCUGUGCAAGUCCUGGCUGUGUUUCUUGCUACCGGCGUAAUGGUAGUGCUAUUUAAGCAGCAGUGCAUGUCUCCUCACAUUUGAAAAUAUUGAUUGGGUCUUGAAGACAGAAUAACAAGCGCCAGAACUCAAGCAUUUUGCCAGGAGUGGUGCUGCCUCAUCAGUACUUCAGAUCCAGGCAGGGAAACUGUCAGCAGAACUGCUCCAAAGUCUGCUUUGUGAAAUGCACAUAAGCGGUCUCCCAGACCCACUUUCCAUCCUUCUCCUUUCUGAGGAGGAGGUGGUUAGAAAAAAAAGAAGAAGACAACAAAAGAGUAGAUGAGAGAGAUGUGGCAAAAGAAGAGGCAGAAGAGAAGAGGCAAGAGAAGGAUUCUCCCACCCAUUGCUGUCUUUAGAGAUGCAGGCUAUGAGCCAAAAAGCACAGAUAGCUCCGGAAGCUGAGGACAAGCCACACUGCCCACACUCCCGCAACUGCCCAGAACUGAAUUUUGCCAAUUACCUGCAUAAAUCAGAAAAUGGAUGCUCACUAGAGUCUCCAGAAGGGAGCCUGGCUUGCUGACACCUAGAUUUUUGUCUUGUGAGACUGAUCAGAGGAAUUAUCCCAGCACACUUGACUUCUGAAAUUGUGAUAUAUCUAUGCCUGCAGAAACCCAUGACAUGCAGAAACUAUGAGUUAAUAAAUGAAUGUUGUUUUAAGCCAUCAAGUGUGUGGUAAUUUGUCACAGCAGCCCUAGAAAACGAAUAGACUCUCUAACUAACAUUGGUGUUUCAAAUUUACCAUAGGCACUGUGUAUAUAAUCUCCCUCAUACACAUGUUUCCAUUGAUAUUCAACAAAGAAGAAAAAGAAAAGGGAGGGGGAGAAAGUGAAGGGUCGUGGAAAGCAGUAGCUCAAGAAAAGGAAGAAGGAGAACUAACAAGAGGAAGAAUAAGAGGAGAAAGGAAGAAAAAAAUACCAUUUUACAAAAAAGAGAAUGCAAAGCAACUCACAGA
This 1316-nucleotide long non-coding RNA is filed under the name Homo sapiens (human). Its description in RNAcentral is "HSALNT0322357". Lineage: Eukaryota; Metazoa; Chordata; Mammalia; Primates; Hominidae. The record is from RNAcentral.